GACGAACGCUGGCGGCGUGCUUAACACAUGCAAGUCGUACGGUAAGGCCCUUUCGGGGGUACACGAGUGGCGCACGGGUGAGUAACACGUGAGUAACCUGCCCACAACUUUGGGAUAACGCUAGGAAACUGGUGCUAAUACUGGAUAUGUGCUCCUGCUGCAUGGUGGGGGUUGGAAAGCUCCGGCGGCUGUGGAUGGACUCGCGGCCUAUCAGCUUGUUGGUGGGGUAGUGGCCUACCAAGGCGGCGACGGGUAGCCGGCCUGAGAGGGUGACCGGCCACAUUGGGACUGAGAUACGGCCCAGACUCCUACGGGAGGCAGCAGUGGGGAAUAUUGCACAAUGGGCGCAAGCCUGAUGCAGCAACGCCGCGGGCGGGAUGACGGCCUUCGGGUUGUAAACCGCUUUCAGCAGGGACGAAGCUUUUUGUGACGGUACCUGCAGAAGAAGCACCGGCUAACUACGUG
Molecule: ribosomal RNA, 465 nt
Filed under: uncultured bacterium
Lineage: Bacteria
Description: partial 16S ribosomal RNA
Rfam family: Bacterial small subunit ribosomal RNA
Source: RNAcentral